GGGUGCUUAGCUCAGCUGGAAGAGCGGCGCCCUUACAAGGCGUAGGUCGGGGGUUCGAUCCCCUCAGCACCCACCA
This 76-nucleotide transfer RNA is filed under the name Gammaproteobacteria bacterium. RNAcentral's name for it is "tRNA-Val". It matches the Rfam family "tRNA". Rfam says of the family: Transfer RNA (tRNA) molecules are approximately 80 nucleotides in length. Their secondary structure includes four short double-helical elements and three loops (D, anti-codon, and T loops). The record is from RNAcentral. Lineage: Bacteria; Pseudomonadati; Pseudomonadota; Gammaproteobacteria.